RNAcentral lists this ribosomal RNA (1335 nucleotides) under metagenome. RNAcentral describes it as "bacterial SSU rRNA". It matches the Rfam family "Bacterial small subunit ribosomal RNA", at positions 8 to 1313 of the family's 1533-position model. The record is from RNAcentral.
AGAGUUUGAUCCUGGCUCAGAAUGAACGCUGGCGGCGUGCUUAACACAUGCAAGUCGUACGAGAACGCUUCAGCUUGCUGAAGCUAGUAAAGUGGCGUACGGGUGAGUAACGCGUGGGUAAUCUACCUUCGAAUUGGGGAUAACGUUGCGAAAGUGACGCUAAUACCGAAUAAUAUCAUAGAGACGUUGGUUUUUAUGAUCAAAGAUGGCCUCUCCUUGGAAGCUAUUGUUUGGAGAUGAGCCCGCGUCCCAUUAGCUUGUUGGUGGGGUAAUGGCCUACCAAGGCAACGAUGGGUAGCUGGUCUGAGAGGAUGAUCAGCCACACUGGAACUGACACACGGUCCAGACUCCUACGGGAGGCAGCAGUGAGGAAUUUUGCGCAAUGGGGGAAACCCUGACGCAGCAACGCCGCGUAAGUGAUGAAGGCUUUCGGGUCGUAAAGCUCUGUCAAGUGGGAAGAACUCCCGUGAGGUUAAUACCCUCAUGGUUUGACGGUACCACUGAAGGAAGCACCGGCUAACUCCGUGCCAGCAGCCGCGGUAAUACGGGGGGUGCAAGCGUUAUUCGGAUUUACUGGGCGUAAAGCGCGCGUAGGCGGCCGUUUAAGUCAGAUGUGAAAGCCCGGGGCUCAACCCCGGAAGUGCAUUUGAUACUAUUCGGCUUGAGUAUGGGAGAGGGAAGUGGAAUUCCUGGUGUAGAGGUGAAAUUCGUAGAUAUCAGGAGGAACACCUGUGGCGAAGGCGACUUCCUGGACCAAUACUGACGCUGAGGCGCGAAGGCGUGGGUAGCAAACAGGAUUAGAUACCCUGGUAGUCCACGCAGUAAACGGUGAUCACUAGGUGUAGCGGGUAUUGACCCCUGCUGUGCCGCAGCUAACGCAUUAAGUGAUCCGCCUGGGGAGUACGGCCGCAAGGUUAAAACUCAAAGGAAUUGACGGGGGCCCGCACAAGCGGUGGAGCAUGUGGUUUAAUUCGACACAACGCGAAGAACCUUACCUGGAUUUGACAUCUCGGGAAUUUCUAUGAAAGUAGGAAGUGCCCUUCGGGGAGCCCGAUGACAGGUGCUGCAAGGCUGUCGUCAGCUCGUGUCGUGAGAUGUUGGGUUAAGUCCCGCAACGAGCGCAACCCCUAUCUUUAGUUACCAGCACUUCGGGUGGGGACUCUAAAGAUACUGCCCCGGUCAACGGGGAGGAAGGUGGGGAUGACGUCAAGUCAUCAUGGCCCUUAUGGGCUGGGCUACACACGUGCUACAAUGGCCGGUACAGAGGGUUGCCAACCCGCGAGGGGGAGCCAAUCUCAGAAAACCGGUCGUAGUCCGGAUUGCGGUCUGCAACUC